This 65-nucleotide transfer RNA is filed under the name Thalamita integra. RNAcentral describes it as "tRNA-His". It matches the Rfam family "tRNA". From Rfam's summary of the family: Transfer RNA (tRNA) molecules are approximately 80 nucleotides in length. Their secondary structure includes four short double-helical elements and three loops (D, anti-codon, and T loops). Lineage: Eukaryota; Metazoa; Arthropoda; Malacostraca; Decapoda; Portunidae. The record is from RNAcentral.
ACUCAAAUAGUUUAAAUAAAAAAUAUUAGCUUGUGGCGCUUAAGAUGUAGGCUUUACUUUGAGUA